AACGCGAAGAACCUUACCCAGACUUGACAUACAGAGGACAGUGUUAGAAAUAACAUCUCCCUUCGGGGCCUCUGAACAGGUGCUGCAUGGCUGUCGUCAGCUCGUGCCGUGAGGUGUUUGGUUAAGUCCAGCAACGAGCGCAACCCUUAUCAUUAGUUGCCAACACUUAGGGUGGGAACUCUAAUGAGACUGCCUGGGUUAACCAGGAGGAAGGUGAGGAUGACGUCAAGUCCGCAUGGCCCUUAUGUCUGGGGCUACACACGUGCUACAAUGGUCGGUACAGAAGGCAGCGAAGCCGCGAGGUGGAGCAAAUCCCAAAAGCCGAUCUCAGUUCAGAUUGUAGUCUGCAACUCGACUACAUGAAGACGGAAUUGCUAGUAAUGGCAGGUCAGCACACUGCCGUGAAUACGUUCCCGGGCCUUGUACACACCGGCUAC
This 437-nucleotide ribosomal RNA is filed under the name uncultured bacterium. RNAcentral's name for it is "bacterial SSU rRNA". It matches the Rfam family "Bacterial small subunit ribosomal RNA", at positions 958 to 1397 of the family's 1533-position model. The record is from RNAcentral.